CAGCCGCCACGGGAAUACGUAGGGUGCAAGCGUUAAUCGGAAUUACUGGGCGUAAAGCGUGCGCAGGCGGUGUUGUAAGACUGAUGUGAAAUCCCCGGGCUCAACCUGGGAACUGCAUUGGUGACUGCAACGCUGGAGUGCGGCAGAAGGGGAUGGAAUUCCGCGUGUAGCAGUGAAAUGCGUAGAUAUGCGGAGGAACACCGAUGGCGAAGGCGGCCCCCUGGACAAAGACUGACGCUCAGGUGCGAAAGCGUGGGGAGCAAACAGGAUUAGAUACCCCCGUAGUCCCUGUCUCUUAUAC
Molecule: ribosomal RNA, 301 nt
Filed under: uncultured bacterium
Lineage: Bacteria
Description: partial 16S ribosomal RNA
Rfam family: Bacterial small subunit ribosomal RNA
Source: RNAcentral